GUGAAUCAUCGAAUUUUUGAACGCAAAUUGCACUCUCUGGUAUUCCGGAGAGUAUGCCUGUUUGAGGGUCAGUUUAAAUAAAAAUCGGUGUGGUUGCUGCCUUUCGUGGUGACGCACCGGAUUUGGGUCGUCUUGCCUUGGGUUAGGUAACUUAAAAUUUGGCUUGUUUUUUUUCGAUGGAAUUAAAAUAUUUUUCGGUACUUUUCCGUUAUCGAAUC
This 218-nucleotide unclassified non-coding RNA is filed under the name Glomeraceae sp. RNAcentral describes it as "partial contains 5.8S ribosomal RNA and internal transcribed spacer 2". The stretch from base 1 to 71 matches the Rfam family "5.8S ribosomal RNA", at positions 84 to 154 of the family's 154-position model. The record is from RNAcentral. Lineage: Eukaryota; Fungi; Glomeromycota; Glomeromycetes; Glomerales; Glomeraceae.